RNAcentral lists this ribosomal RNA (480 nucleotides) under uncultured bacterium. RNAcentral describes it as "partial 16S ribosomal RNA". It matches the Rfam family "Bacterial small subunit ribosomal RNA", at positions 28 to 506 of the family's 1533-position model. The record is from RNAcentral.
GAUGAACGCUGGCGGCGUGCUUAACACAUGCAAGUCGAACGAAGCACUUUAUUUGAUUUCCUUCGGGACUGAUUAUUUUGUGACUGAGUGGCGGACGGGUGAGUAACGCGUGGGUAACCUGCCUUGUACAGGGGGAUAACAGUUGGAAACGGCUGCUAAUACCGCAUAAGCGCACAGCAUCGCAUGAUGCAGUGUGAAAAACUCCGGUGGUAUAAGAUGGACCCGCGUUGGAUUAGCUAGUUGGUGAAGUAACGGCCCACCAAGGCGACGAUCCAUAGCCGACCUGAGAGGGUGACCGGCCACAUUGGGACUGAGACACGGCCCAAACUCCUACGGGAGGCAGCAGUGGGGAAUAUUGCACAAUGGGCGAAAGCCUGAUGCAGCGACGCCGCGUGAGCGAAGAAGUAUUUCGGUAUGUAAAGCUCUAUCAGCAGGGAAGAUAAUGACGGUACCUGACUAAGAAGCACCGGCUAAAUACGU